Long non-coding RNA from Juglans microcarpa x Juglans regia, 325 nucleotides. RefSeq lists it as uncharacterized. The record is from RefSeq and is a predicted model, not a curated record. NCBI's taxonomy places the organism in Eukaryota, Viridiplantae, Streptophyta, Magnoliopsida, Fagales, Juglandaceae. The transcript is spliced from 3 exons.
CUAUUUUUGUCUUUUUAAGUUUUUGAGUUUGUUUCCUCUUCAACCCACGAAGCCUUAUUUCCCCCAUUCACCUAAUCUUCUCCUCCUCACCAACACCCAUCCCAAAACCUUAACCCUAACCCUAACCUAGCCCCUUCCCCUUCAUCCUUAAUUUUUUGAUGUUGGGUUUGGGCACUGGGCAAAUGGCCAGAGAACCCACUGGUUUGAGAACCUGCCCACUCAUUUAUUUAUUUAUUUGACUCGAGCCCAGAACAGAGCCCAUGGCUACAACCAAGCUAGAAUGUCUCUAUGGGUGUCUUCAUUUCAGGUGCUGGUCCAGCAUGUA